This 19-nucleotide non-coding RNA is filed under the name Arabidopsis thaliana (thale cress). The record is from RNAcentral. Lineage: Eukaryota; Viridiplantae; Streptophyta; Magnoliopsida; Brassicales; Brassicaceae.
UAUGUGGAAGUUCAAGUCU